UGGAAUCGACGGUGAGGAAGCAGAAGACCUGGGUGGUAUGUAGGCCACGACGCCGGCGGCGGCGAAGGAGAGAAUGAGACAAAGAGAAAGGUAGAAAAAAAUAUCCCCUAUUUCUUUUUGUUAAUCUCUAUUUAUUUGCUAUAAAAACUAACUAAUGAUUUCUUUUUAAGCCUUCAAAAACGGGUGAAAUCAACUUACUAUGGAAAAUCGAGAGGGAAAGCGAAGACUACCUUUGGAGGUAAAACAGCGAAUCUCUAAUAGUUUUUAAUUAUUUUUUAGGUAAAAGGGAAGGUUCUGUUUGUUGACGAGUUGCUUAAAAUGAAAAUGUGAUUGGUUUUGUUACCGAAAUUGUAGUAGUAGUCUACGUGUUUUAAAAAUUUCUGUUUGAAAAACUUGACUUUUUACUAUUGUUUAAAAAACUUCAACAACAUUGUUUAGUCGAAAAAUCUGUAUUUUAGCUCGAUUGUACUACAAGUUUCAUAGUUCUUUACAUCUUUGGUGCGAAAACGAUGAAAGAUGGCUAUAGGUUUCUUUGUUAGCAUAUUUUCCAGCAACUUUUAGUUGAUUUUGUAAGCUUAUUUCAUUCAUUGGUUGGUUGUUCAUUAAAAUGAAACGUCCAUUUGAUUAAUCGCAAUGAACAUUGUAUUCGAGGGUCGUUUAGGGGUUGACUAAGCUCAACAAUGUGUAUCUAUGCAUGAUAUGUGAAUGCUUUCGAAUAGGGAUGUUUUGAAUGAUUACCUUUAAUUCGAAACUUCCUUGUUUUGUCGUGUUUCAGGUGGCGGUGCUUUUCGAGAGUCACGACAAAACCGCUUUGGCGGCUUCCAUGUGGGUGGCAAGGAGACUUUAUAACUUUUUAGUUUUUAGUGUUUUGUAAUGUCAUUCUUAUUUGGGACUUUAGGACUUAUGUAUUUGUUUUAGGGAGUUUUUAGGGGAG
Molecule: long non-coding RNA, 934 nt
Filed under: Linum usitatissimum (flax)
Lineage: Eukaryota; Viridiplantae; Streptophyta; Magnoliopsida; Malpighiales; Linaceae
Description: long non-coding RNA (LUSI_LNC007616)
Source: RNAcentral